RNAcentral lists this ribosomal RNA (504 nucleotides) under uncultured bacterium. RNAcentral describes it as "partial 16S ribosomal RNA". It matches the Rfam family "Bacterial small subunit ribosomal RNA", at positions 30 to 523 of the family's 1533-position model. The record is from RNAcentral.
AUUGAACGCUGGCGGCAGGCCUAACACAUGCAAGUCGAACGGUAGCACAGAGAGCUUGCUCUCGGGUGACGAGUGGCGGACGGGUGAGUAAUGUCUGGGAAACUGCCCGAUGGAGGGGGAUAACUACUGGAAACGGUAGCUAAUACCGCAUAACGUCGCAAGACCAAAGUGGGGGACCUUCGGGCCUCACACCAUCGGAUGUGCCCAGAUGGGAUUAGCUAGUAGGUGGGGUAACGGCUCACCUAGGCGACGAUCCCUAGCUGGUCUGAGAGGAUGACCAGCCACACUGGAACUGAGACACGGUCCAGACUCCUACGGGAGGCAGCAGUGGGGAAUAUUGCACAAUGGGCGCAAGCCUGAUGCAGCCAUGCCGCGUGUAUGAAGAAGGCCUUCGGGUUGUAAAGUACUUUCAGCGAGGAGGAAGGCAUUAAGGUUAAUAACCUUAAUGAUUGACGUUACUCGCAGAAGAAGCACCGGCUAACUCCGUGCCAGCCGCCGCUGUAA